RNAcentral lists this long non-coding RNA (7771 nucleotides) under Setaria italica (foxtail millet). Its description in RNAcentral is "long non-coding RNA (SITA_LNC005947)". The record is from RNAcentral. Lineage: Eukaryota; Viridiplantae; Streptophyta; Magnoliopsida; Poales; Poaceae.
UGUGCUUUUGUCCUAAUAACUUUGUUUAAUCACUAUUGCAUAUGCUUGCAUUAAAUUUGUUGGGUCCUAUUAAGGUUUGCCUAGUUUUUGUGAUUAUUCCUUACCAACCUGGGUUUACCUUUCUGUUGGGUAGCUAUGCUUAGCUGCUAUACUUGGGUUAUGGUGGUUCUAAUGAACAAAGAUGAUGAACUUAUUUUAUUUAUGCUACACCUUCCUUUAAUACAAGAUCACUAUGAUUAAUUGGAACAUGGAGAACCACCCAGGAAAACAGUGCUACCACAAGACUAAAUGGCUCUGGUCUUGGCUGAUUAAUUAGAAACCUUAGUCUGGGGUGACCUUACUCGUGAUGAGGCAAGAGGGGGGACUGAGUCGUUGCAUUUUACCUGGGAUGGGUGGUGCACGCCAGACACCGAAACCUUAGCGGGUUACCACUGACUAAUGAAUCUUUGUAAAGGCCUCGUAGCGUCCCUAUGCAAUCACACCUCGGAAGUGUGGUAUUGUGCCUGAUCAGCACAAGCGUGGUUGGGUCUAAAGUUCUUUUGAGCUUUUACGCGACUUGUGGGUAAAGAUGUGCGACCUCUGCAGAGUGUAAAACUGAUCGAUCAGCCGUGCUCACGGUUAAGAGCGGCCUGGACCCUCACAUGAGUAAUAUACUUGAAGAUGGAUUUAAAUUGUGGUUUAUGCUAUGGUUAUGGUUGUGCCAUAUGCUUAUGGCUUAUAUUUAUGUUUAUAUUAAUUGUGGGUUGGUAUAUACUUAUACCUUAGUAAUCAGGUGCUAAUAAAAUUUGGCCAACUAAAAAUGCUUAAUGCAGUAAACCGGUCAGCCUUUCCUUGUUUAAGCCUUGCAUUCAUAUUCUCCUUACACUUGCUGAGUACGAAAAGUGCUCACCCUUGCUAUAAACAACGUUGCUCAGAAGAAGCAGCUGCUAUGAAGUUGUUGUGAAGAUGGUGCUGAGUCCUAGGCGUACGCAACCCCCAGUCGAUUGCCUGUGAAGUUUGGAGCCUCCGUCUCCAGCAUUUAAGCUGUGUAUCUCUGAUGGUUUCGUAAGUCUUUAUUUGUAUCUUUUUACGUGAUACUGUUGCUGUUAUUCACUUAUGAUGUCACUAUAUGUAUGAAACUUGAUCCUGGCAUACAUAUAGAUAGCAUUCGGUUUUGCCUUUAAAACCGGGUGUGACAGAAGUGGUAUCAGAGCCAGGUUCGACUGUAGGACGUAAGCCUAGAUAGCAAUGGUCACUUCCUAAGGUCUGUUUUACUAUAUAAACAAUUCCUGCCUUAUCCUUGACCUUUCUAAAAAAUAUUCUCACUCCUUGAUCAUUUUCUUUUCCCAAUCCUCCUUGAUAACUUGAGCUCUUUUCAUUUGCACUUCUUGUGUUGUAAAUGUUAGACCCUCAAUCCUUGUCUAUUUAUUUCCUCUCUCCUUGAUCACUGCUUGAUCUUGAUCAUGCAUCUCCUUCUUGAUGAAUGAUCUUACCUGUUUGAUGCAAUACACCUCCUUGAUUUCUUAGCGAUAUUGCUACUCUCUCAUCCCCUGUUCAUUUAUCUCCUUGAUGUUUUCCUUACUUAUCUUUGUAAACCUAUCCCUUCCUUAAAUUUAUUUUUAGUAUAUCCAUCUUCCUUGAUGCUUUUCAAAUAGAUGCUACCUUGGAAUCUUUUCCUUGACUUUUGAUUCCAAAAAGUCUCGUUUUAUUCAAAAAUAUCUAGAUGAUCCGUGCCACCUAUCCUAAAGCCUGUCCAAGUCAUCUGAAGAAUGGGCUACCACUCAAGAAAACAAGCUUAGUAGCAGGAGAGCCAUGCCACCCUCACCGCAACUAUGAUCGAGAAGGAAAAUUCUACACUGUAGAAGCUGAAGGAUACCCACACCAAGCAUGUUGAAGCCUUACCAAACAACACCUGUUUAGGAAGUACCCCCUUGCAGUCUUACUAACAACGUUUAGCAUCGUUUCUUGACUCUGUGUUGACUGGUGGAAUUUUGUGUUUGCAUGAUGAUGCUUGUCUUUAUGAAAUUGUCUGAUUUGUUUCUUUGUAAUGAUUGUUGGUGUAUUGUGGGUCUUCUACCUACAAUGACAUCAGUUGCCUAGCUGGGUUCUUCUUUUGAAUCUCCCAUAUCCUUGUCAUCCAUUCCUUUCUACCCGAGCCAAUGAAGGACAUCAGAAAAGAGGGAACUAAAGUCAACACCAACGUCAACAAGCAGGAGUUAACAUCACCACCACCGUCUCGCUAUAAGCUAGUUGAAGAAUAGAGAGCUUUACUCUGAUCUCCAUCUUACUCUAAGGAUGAUUACAAGAACCAAAGAAGAUGAAGAAAGCAGGGAGAUUCUACUCGCGACAAGAAAAGAUGAAAGACUAUCCACUCUACCAUAAGGAACUUGUUGUCUCCCACCUCUUUGUUUUCUUUUCUCUCUUCGAACCUACUUGUACCUCCCACAUCCUUGUUAUUUUUCUUUCUAUCUUCCAAUUCUGAUGAACAUCAAGAAAGAAAGUGAAGGCAACACCAAUGUCAACAAGCAGAGGCUAUCGCCACCAUCACCGUCGGAAUAGAAGCAAGUCGAAGAAAAGAAGGCCCUACCCUAGUUUACUUGCGACCUUGCUGCUUUCUAUCCUUCCUUCUACCUUACUCGGAUGACGACCCAAGAAAAGACGAAGAUAUCAUGAAGUGCUCUACCUUGUUCUGCAAUUUUAUCCAUUUCCUAUUUUCUUCUGAUCCUAUCUUUAUCACACAACCAAAUGGCGAGUCCCAAUGAAAAUCAUGAAGAUAGAGCCAAUGAGGGAGAUCUUAACAUUCCACCUGUAGCCGCAACAUUCAAACGCAAGAUGUUAGAGUAUAUGGCAACACAAACUCAGGUUCUACAAGCAAUGUCUCAAACUAUGGUCAAUAUCCCUUAGUAUAUCACAGAGCAAGCCUCACUUCCUCGGAACCACAACCCUAUCACCAGUGAUGACCAUCACGUUUCGUUUGCUCCACCACCGUUCGACAAAGAGAAGCUAUUAGCCAUGCAGGCUCAAGUCUUACAAGGAAGGAUGCAGACUACCACAUCAUUCCCUCAUAACAUGGAGAUGACCAAGGCUAGGUUCCCACUGGACCAGUGAAGAGGCAAGUUGCUGAAGCCUGGAACCGUCAAAGGAACAAGAGAAGCCGUGGAGCGUUGGAGCUGGAAAUGGAGAGACAAUAUGAAGAUGUUAAGAUUCCAGGAACACCAUCCUCUUCCAUGUCUCUAGAAAGAAGAUAGCCUAAUGACAGCUAAAGCUAGACAACAUCAUCAUCAAUAAGACGAGGAAGUUGUAUGCCCAAGGGCCAUCCCUAGAGGGAGUUACCCAAGAUGAAGAUAGUACUCAGACUAUGAACCUUGAGGGUUGGAGUAUCUCUUUCAAAGAAUUUCAGCCCUGUAGGAGUAGGCGAGCCAAGAAGCCAACUAGUAAAGAAAGUCAAGAGAAGAUGGAGUUACCACAACUAUUGGCAUAUAACAGUACUCAGCCUAGUUCCCACUAACCACAACCUAAAGUUGUUCACUAUCCACAUGGAAACCCAUCAAGAAGAAUCCUGAUGCACAAGCUAUUCCACAGAUAGCUACCAUGGAGCAGAAAGGAAGAUGAGAAGGAUGUAAGACUGUGCUGCAGAUGCGGUGAAGAAUGCCUUUAUACCAAUAAUUGUCCAAUAAAGCGUAAGUGGACCAGGUCCACUGGAACCAAAUUGUAUUACCUCAGGUAUGGAGAAAACGAACAUCUUGUUAGUUGGUGUGCAAAAGAGAAAGAUGAUCAACCCUAGGGCCAAGGACCCAAAAGCCCUACAUUCAGGCAGACGUCAUCAGUUGGCCUCUUUGUCAGGACAAAUAAUUAGGAUGCCUCAGUCAAGAAAGAAUGCCACCAAUUUCCAAUGCCCAAUUCCCAUACCACAUCUAGUUGCCAAAGUACCAAAGCAAGAAUAACAUGUUUCUACCGCAAAUAAGAGAGACAUUUCAUCAGACAAUGUUCCAAGAAGCGUUUGGACCAGAUGGAGAAGAAGACUAAAGGAUGUGUAUGAAGACUUGAAGGGUGACAGUCGAGCUGGAGGGAAGCAAUCCAGCUCUAUUCAAAUCACUUUACCAAGAAAUGAAGAAAAUUCUUCAAAGAUGGGCCAAAGAAGCAGAGGGAAGGAAAGGAUACUUAAAAGAGGAAAUAGACUGAGUAUCCCUGAAGUGUUCUAUGUGAUGUAGUGAAGCAUAAAGAAGCAUGAUUGAGAAGCUUACGUAAGGAUGAACGAUCUGGGAAGAAGCUAAUAAGUGUUGGAUGCUACCCACCUAAACCUUUUGUCUCUUGCUAGCCUUUGCGAAUCUCGGGACGAGAUUCUUGUUAAGGGGGGUAGUGUUGUCACACCCUGAAAUUUCCGAAUUUCAGGAUGUGAAUAAAAAGAAUAAAUAAACAAUAAUUUUCUCAUAGUUUUAAAAUUUUCCCAACAUUUAAUUUUCUUUUACAGGAAAUUUAGUAUAGGAAAAAUAAUUGUUUGCUUUUAUAAAUUAAUAAUGUUGUUCUAUGUUUGUGCAUUCAUGUCGCUGCAUCUUGGUGUUUUUUGAGUGCAAAAGUUUGAAAAAUGCGUUUAGACGUUGUCCAGACCCUUGUGAGAAUUUUCCAUCUUUUUCCGGAAAUUAUUUUCCUUUUCCUAGAGCUAAAUCCAAUUUUUGGAAGGCUUUAGAAUCCUUUUCACGAGCUCCAAGUAUUUUAUUUGGAUUCUUUGUGUCCCAAUCCAUCUCUGAGAUUUAUCUCAGAUUUUUCGGAAUUUUCUAGGUAUUUUUCUCGCUUUAGAAAACGAGUCCAGCUAUUUCUGAAAUUGUUUUCGCGCAGAUAAAUAAAAUCAGAAAUUCCGAAAAUAUAUAUCACCGCGUGCGUCUCGACGCGAGGAUUUCAGAUCUGCAAACCUUUUCACGAGUUGCAUCUCCUAGCUCCGUAGAUCUGAAGUCAAAGUUCGGUCUUCGUCAAACUCCGGCGAGCUUUUCCGGCGAAACCGUGGACUUCCGACGAAAACCGACACCACCAUGGAGUUCCUCUCUUCGAGCUCUACGCCAUGGUGUGGUGGAUUGCAUGAAUCCGAUGUCGGCUCCGUCGUCUUCCCCAACUCCGGCGAGCUUUUCCACCGCCAUUGUUCAUCUCUGGCCGAAGGUGAGCACACCAUCUUGUUCGUCUCGUCGAUAUCGUUCCAUUUUGCCAUUCAUGCGCGAGAUCGGACUUUGUUUUCGGCUUUCCCAUCUUCCUCUCUCUUUCUUCUUUCUUCUGUUCCUGUGCACAACCGUAACAGACCGAGCUUCUGGUUCUGUUGCUGCCGCGCGCCGCCUGCAGCUGCCCGCCGCCGCCUGCAGCUGCCCGCCGCCGCUACCGCGUGCUGCACGCUUAGCGCCGUCGCCCCCCCUGCCUGACCUCGGCCCCGGCCGUCGCGCCGGCAGAACCGGCCUGGAACACGGCGGCUGACCAGGAGCUGCGCCAUGCUCCUGGCGUGAGAAGAAGAUGAAGUGUUGUUUUUCGGUUUAGCCCCUGGAGAACUUUGUAAUUUUUCCUCUUUCCUUUGUGUCUUGGCAAACUAGCAGAUAACCCCCUGGAUCUAUUAGUUUCCUUGAAUCCAGUCCAGCCCCUGCGGUUUUGCAAAUCUAACCCUGUCCUUUAACCUUUUCGCGAGCACUAUUCCUUGUGUCUUGCCCAUUUUCCUUGCUAACCCUCCAAGUCUACGGUUAAUUACGUUUAGACCCCUGCAACGUUGUUUAACCCAUAGAUUCUACGUUUUAGCUCCGUUUUAAUCCGUUCAAGUUGCGUUAGAUGCAUAAUGAUGUAAAUUACACGUUAGUGGUAAUGUUUUCCUUCACACAUGUUUUUGAAAAUAAAAUUUAUAUUAAAUUGAUUAAUGCCUGACAAACGAGUUCUUCUCUAAAUAAAAUCUAUUUAGUGUUAAACAUCGUUUUUCAUAAUAAUUGUUAAUUUGAUUAAUGCCUACUUCAUACCCUCUUCUAAAUAAAAGCCAAUUAGGUUAUAUAUCGGUUUUUCAUAAACUAAAGUUAAUUGGAUUAAUGCCUAUCUAAAUAAUUCUUCCAAUUAAAAGCCACUUAGAGUUAUACCUCGGCGUUUCAUAAAUUAAAUUCAAUUUGAUUAAUGUUUAUUCAAUUUGUUUUCUAAAUAAAAUCUGUAUAGGUUAUAUCUCGAGUUUCCAUAAUUAAAUAUUAAUUUGGCUAAUAUAAAUAUGAAUGUGUUUUUAAUUUAAUCUACUUAGUUGAACUCGAGAUGUAAAGCUAUACGCUUAGAUGUCUACAUGUAUCUUUUUUUUUAAAUUAAAUGUUUAAUUUGCAUAAAUGGUACUCAAAUAUUUAUAAAUAAAAUUGGAGUAAGCUUUACAUCGUCUUUUCUUAUGAAAAUAUAGAUAUGACUUGAUUAAUUCUAACUCAGGAUAUUUCUCUGAAAUAUCUUUACAUUGCUUUUCUCAACUAAAAUAAAUAAAGCUUGUACCUCUUAUCUUUCUUUUAUAAUUCAAAUCUUUCGAUAGUUUGUUUUGUCAACCAUAGUUCCGUUUUAAGCGUUUCCUGCGUUCGCGUAAUCAUAGAAUCGAGCCCUAUCUUUUAGUACGCUCUUUUAAAGCUUUUCCAUUGAUUUGGUGUAUUGUUCUUAGUUGUACUUGUUGUUCGCUUGUAUGUUUGUACCGGUGUUUGCUUCGAGUAGAAGGAUCGCCGUUCGGAAGCUCUGAAGAGUACGAGUUUCAAGUGAGCAAGAGCCGAAGAGCAGUAAGAAGUAACUUGUCGCUGGAGAAAGGCAAGUGUGUCCUUGUGCUUUUGUCCUAAUAACUUUGUUUAAUCACUAUUGCAUAUGCUUGCAUUAAAUUUGUUGGGUCCUAUUAAGGUUUGCCUAGUUUUUGUGAUUAUUCCUUACCAACCUGGGUUUACCUUUCUGUUGGGUAGCUAUGCUUAGCUGCUAUACUUGGGUUAUGGUGGUUCUAAUGAACAAAGAUGAUGAACUUAUUUUAUUUAUGCUACACCUUCCUUUAAUACAAGAUCACUAUGAUUAAUUGGAACAUGGAGAACCACCCAGGAAAACAGUGCUACCACAAGACUAAAUGGCUCUGGUCUUGGCUGAUUAAUUAGAAACCUUAGUCUGGGGUGACCUUACUCGUGAUGAGGCAAGAGGGGGGACUGAGUCGUUGCAUUUUACCUGGGAUGGGUGGUGCACGCCAGACACCGAAACCUUAGCGGGUUACCACUGACUAAUGAAUCUUUGUAAAGGCCUCGUAGCGUCCCUAUGCAAUCACACCUCGGAAGUGUGGUAUUGUGCCUGAUCAGCACAAGCGUGGUUGGGUCUAAAGUUCUUUUGAGCUUUUACGCGACUUGUGGGUAAAGAUGUGCGACCUCUGCAGAGUGUAAAACUGAUCGAUCAGCCGUGCUCACGGUUAAGAGCGGCCUGGACCCUCACAUGAGUAAUAUACUUGAAGAUGGAUUUAAAUUGUGGUUUAUGCUAUGGUUAUGGUUGUGCCAUAUGCUUAUGGCUUAUAUUUAUGUUUAUAUUAAUUGUGGGUUGGUAUAUACUUAUACCUUAGUAAUCAGGUGCUAAUAAAAUUUGGCCAACUAAAAAUGCUUAAUGCAGUAAACCGGUCAGCCUUUCCUUGUUUAAGCCUUGCAUUCAUAUUCUCCUUACACUUGCUGAGUACGAAAAGUGCUCACCCUUGCUAUAAACAACGUUGCUCAGAAGAAGCAGCUGCUAUGAAGUUGUUGUGAAGAUGGUGCUGAGUCCUAGGCGUACGCAACCCCCAGUCGAUUGCCUGUGAAGUUUG